Molecule: long non-coding RNA, 516 nt
Filed under: Capra hircus (goat)
Lineage: Eukaryota; Metazoa; Chordata; Mammalia; Artiodactyla; Bovidae
Description: lncRNA (ENSCHIG00000003541.1)
Source: RNAcentral
CUAUUCUCCACCACCCGCUCCUUCGACCCUCUUUGAGUCUAGCCUUCUUCUGUCUCACUCCAAGAUCCCUCUCUGGGCCCAUCCACAUCACAGCCUCCGUUGGGUCACCUGCCUCUUUGGCGUCCACUGAGCCCUUUGGCUUUCUCUGCAGGCUGGAGACAUUCCACACAAACCAGGACCUAAAAAUAAGGAGGUAGGAAGACUGCGGUUGUUGACCAUUUGGCAAAGGCUUCUCGGGGGCCUGUCGAAACCAAUCUAGAACGAUCCGUGAUGAGACAUGAAGUGCCUGACGAUGCCCAUGUAGCAGUGAUACCAGCCAGUCACCAGUAGACCUGGGGGCCUGGUGGUGACUUUCCUUUCAGAGAGACUGCCGCCCAGGGGACAGUUCAGACAGAAACACACCGAGAGCAAGACCUCCUGGCCACUGGCCUGCCUGGAAACAGAGAGAGCAGCCUGCACGACUGGGCACCAGGGCAAGGCCCCAGCACAGUCCUGCAUGGCGGGCAGGUGGGCAGC